GGGAUAACACUUGGAAACAGGUGCUAAUACCGUAUAACACUAUUUUCCGCAUGGAAGAAAGUUGAAAGGCGCUUUUGCGUCACUGAUGGAUGGACCCGCGGUGCAUUAGCUAGUUGGUGAGGUAACGGCUCACCAAGGCCACGAUGCAUAGCCGACCUGAGAGGGUGAUCGGCCACACUGGGACCGAGACACGGCCCAGACUCCUACGGGAGGCAGCAGUAGGGAAUCUUCGGCAAUGGACGAAAGUCUGACCGAGCAACGCCGCGUGAGUGAAGAAGGUUUUCGGAUCGUAAAACUCUGUUGUUAGAGAAGAACAAGGAUGAGAGUAAAAUGUCCAUCCCUUGGCGGUAUCUAACCAGAAAGCCACGGCUAACUACGUGCCAGCAGCCGCGGUAAUACGUAGGUGGCAAGCGUUGUCCGGAUUUAUUGGGCGUAAAGCGAGCGCAGGCGGUUUCUUAAGUCUGAUGUGAAAGCCCCCGGCUCAACCGGGGAGGGUCAUUGGAAACUGGGAGACUUGAGUGCAGAAGAGGAGAGUGGAAUUCCAUGUGUAGCGGUGAAAUGCGUAGAUAUAUGGAGGAACACCAGUGGCGAAGGCGGCUCUCUGGUCUGUAACUGACGCUGAGGCUCGAAAGCGUGGGGAGCGAACAGGAUUAGAUACCCUGGUAGUCCACGCCGUAAACGAUGAGUGAUAAGUGUUGGAGGGUUUCCGCCCUUCAGUGCUGCAGCA
RNAcentral lists this ribosomal RNA (727 nucleotides) under uncultured bacterium. Its description in RNAcentral is "bacterial SSU rRNA". It matches the Rfam family "Bacterial small subunit ribosomal RNA", at positions 140 to 853 of the family's 1533-position model. The record is from RNAcentral.